ACUUUACAAGAGGAAGCUUUUUAUCGCAGCCCCUUCCUACUGUCAUUGAAUGCAGCUCUGUGAGGACAUGAUAUUUGAAGCUGCAGAAGCUAAGGUGGCAAAAGAUGGCAGAACAGAAGAGCAGACAGAAUCUGAGUCCUAGAUGACAUCACUGCACUGCUGCAACUGCCUUCUCCAGACCUCUUGCCAGGUCUGUGGGUCCCUAUGGAAACACUGACAAGAACAGGUGGAAGAAAUAUGUGGUCAUCGGUUAAAAACCCUGCAGGGUUCAAAGAAGGGCACUCUUACAUCAUGUGAUGGGUGAGCUGUAGUCAUUCGGUGAGGGGAACUCCAGAAGACUGGAUCCAACUCGCAACCAGCUACAGUGAAGUUAUGAUAUGAGAAGCACUGACUUGGCACAAGACUUGGGAAAGGCAAUGAGGCAGCAGGCAAGCUUUACGGGAUGACACUUACCUUGAGGGAGCAAGGACAAGUUGUGACCUUCCCAGUCCUCUCUCCAUUUGCAGAUCAGCAAGCUUCUGUCAGCAAGGAGGGGUGGACAAUGAAACUCUUUGGGUUCAGCUUGAUUGUUUUUUGAGACAGGUGUUGCAAGGGACUGCCAAAAAGGCUACAGGUGUUGCUGCAUGUUCUUGGGGUUGUUAAUGGAGCACAGACAGGAAUACCACCCAUGGCAGCUCUGCAACUUAUUCUAAGACUUUUAGACCAAGAGGCAGGAAAGAGUGAAGGAAUGAUCACCACACUGUACCAGGGGUAUACUGGUGAGAGAUUGAGCUGCAGAAGAAACAGUCACCUGGAGCGUGUUCCUAUGUUGCCUGGAAGCUGCACAAGAGACCAAGUCAAAACAUGCAGAAUUCCAGUUGCCCAUGAUGUCACAGGCUGAGGCCCACACUCCAGAGACACUGUGGACUGACUGGCACCUCUGAGCUGACCUAAUAAUGAUUGCACCAUUACAGCUCCGAUUCUACAGAACAAUACAUAGCCAGUU
This is a long non-coding RNA of Rhinopithecus roxellana (golden snub-nosed monkey), 985 nucleotides long. RefSeq lists it as uncharacterized. The transcript is spliced from 5 exons. The record is from RefSeq and is a predicted model, not a curated record. NCBI's taxonomy places the organism in Eukaryota, Metazoa, Chordata, Mammalia, Primates, Cercopithecidae.